UACGUAGGGGGCUAGCGUUAUCCGGAUUUACUGGGCGUAAAGCGUGCGUAGGCGGCUUUUCAAGUCGGAGGUGAAAGCCUACGGCUCAACCGUAGUAAGCCUCAGAAACUGGAAGACUUGAGUGCAGGAGAGGAAAGUGGAAUUCCCAGUGUAGCGGUGAAAUGCGUAGAUAUUGGGAAGAACACCAGUAGCGAAGGCGGCUUUCUGGACUGUAACUGACACUGAGGCACGAAAGCGUGGGGAGCAAACAGG
Molecule: ribosomal RNA, 252 nt
Filed under: uncultured bacterium
Lineage: Bacteria
Description: partial 16S ribosomal RNA
Rfam family: Bacterial small subunit ribosomal RNA
Source: RNAcentral